AUGGCAAUGCCUCAGGGACGCGCGCGCGUCCUGGCCACCCUUUCCCUUUCCACCCGUGGGCUCUCAGUUUUGCUGCACAUAGAGGUGGCGAGCCGAGUGGCAGCCGCUCCCUCCUUCUCGCCCCGCGAGCGACCAGGGCAACCUCGACACCCGGCGCGCGCGGGCCCUUUAAGAGCUACACCAGCCGAGCUGCAGUUUGACAUCAGCCGGCCGGCGAGGGCGCGCCUGGAGCCGAAGCACGUGCCAGGAUGUUUUAUUGCCGCCGCGGCUGCGGCCGGGCCGGGAGGAUGUGUGUGUGCGUGCGUGUGUGAGUGUGUGUGCGCGCGCCCCGGGGGCAGGGAGGCGGGGGGCGGCGGCGGGCGGCGGAGCGCGGGGGCUGGUUCCUGGUCCCCGGGAGAAGCCAAGAAGGUCCUGAGUUCAAGAGAAACAGGUGUCUAAACAGAAGUAAAAUCCUGUGGAAGUUUAGGAUAAUUGAAUUACUCGCAAAUUGGAGUAUCCUGGAAAACUUCCUGGAGGAAGUGGCCUGUGCUUUGUAUCAGGAAAAAUAGCCUGGAGUCCAACUAAGGAAUCAGUGUGCUUCUGACCGAAUUUACCUUCCAAGCCUCAUUUCCAUCUUCCAGAACAGCCUUCAAGUCUGCAGCCAAACCUGUACCUCAUGGCAGGAUGGAAAAGUGGUGAUGACAGAAAAUUGUCUGUUGCUUUUGGAAAAGAAAGGAAAAAAAAAGUGACGUUUCCCUGUGUUUGACAUCCUCUUCCUUAAAGGUAUCAGAAUGGUGCGUGGGUUUGGUUUGAAGCUAAAGAAAGGAGAAAGAGCCAGAGAAGAAGAAAAAAAGAUUCCCUGCAGCCUGCCAGGGACGUGGUAACUGCCCUGCCAAGAGUGAUCCUGGGAGGGCUAUUGAAAGAGCUCUGAGGCCUCCUUGGCAUAUGGAAGUUCCCAGGCUAGGGGGGUGGAAUCCGAGCCACAUCCGUGACCUACACCGCAGCUCACGACAACGCUGGAUCAUCAACCCACUGAGUGAGGCCAGAGAUCGAACCCGAGUUUUCCUGCACACCAGUUAGGUUUGUUACCACUGAGCCGCAACAGGAACUCCCAGGAGCUUUAUGAGUGAAUGAACAAAUGCAUCAUUCCACCCCCACCUCACCGCCGCCACCCCGGGGGAGAGAGUCUACAGCUUUUAGCAGAAUCUCAAAGUUUUUUGUAACGCAGGAAGGUUGAGGAAGCUGAUCCAGGCAAUCUCGAUGUAUAAGUGGGUACUCUAAGGCCCAGAGAGGGCCAGGGACUGGUUCAGGCAACAUAGGGCAGAGUGGGGGCCAGAAGCCAGCUCGGAGUCCUUUGUACCAUUCCCCAGUGCUGUGGAUCUUGGGAAAUUUAGGGUGGGGUUUAUGGAGUUGGGAUCACCGCUAGAACUUGGAUUUAAAAUAGACACUUUAAUAAAGGUCCUUUGAGUCUCC
This 1452-nucleotide long non-coding RNA is filed under the name Sus scrofa (pig). RNAcentral's name for it is "lncRNA (ENSSSCG00040007696.1)". The record is from RNAcentral. Lineage: Eukaryota; Metazoa; Chordata; Mammalia; Artiodactyla; Suidae.